GGCCGGAGGCGGUGCCUGUGGGAGGGAAGGGGGCUGGUCAGGGGCUGCGGGCCUCCCCGCUCUGCAUAUCCCCGGCAGGUGCGGCGGCUGGUUGGUAUCGCCUCCUUACCCAUCCCCGCUCCGGCUUCUGUGUCUCUCAUCAAAGUCUCUUUUUCUCUGAAUAUUUGUACCCCCGCCUCUGCCCUUACUCCUUUGAGACUCUGGCCCCUCCAUUCUAAGUCUCUGCGCUCCCUCUGGGGUCUCUGUCCCCCUCCUCUGAGUCUUACCUCUAAGACUUACCUCUUGCUCUCUAAGCUUCAGUCUCCUCUCCCCGGACCAUGGCGGGGUCUCCCCACCCUCAAUGUCUUUCUCUUGGCCUCUGCCUUUUUCUGAUUUCUCUCUCUCUCUGGCCUCUUUCUCCUCUCUUGGGUUCCUGAACUCCUCUCUCUGGUCUCUUUUCCCUCCUGUCUGUGUCCUUCUUCUUUGUGUUCCUGUCCUCAAUACUCCCCUCGCCCCAGGGCCUCCCCCCUCCUCUCUCUGGGUCUCUGUCCCCCCAGCUCUUGUUCUCUGACCACCUCCUUCCCUGUGUCUUUUCCCCCUCCUCCGUCUCUUUUGCCCCUCUGUCACUGCCUUUUCUCUUUCUGUCCUCUCUCUCUUUUCCUCUCUUGGGUCUCUACCCCCUCCCACUUGUGCCUCUUUGACCCCUUUCUGAAUCUGUCCCCCUUUUUCUUGGUCCCCGCUUCUUUGGGGCUCUGUCCUGCUGUCCUUUGGCCUUUGUCCCUUUCCUGCAUCUCUGUCCCUCUCUUUCCGGCUCCCACUGCAUCACCCUCUCUAACCCUCACCCUGGCCAGGUCUCGAGGCUGCGUCACUGCAGAGUUGCAGAAGUGGGGCCCAUCCUGCGGACCUGGGAGGUAGUUUCCUUCGACUCUCCCACCCCCAGACCUAGGAUCCCCCACUACCCCCUGACCCAGUGUUCUCGGGCAGUCCUCAAGCUCCCAUGAGACCCGGGAGGACAUCGGGACUUCUACUCUUCUCUGCUCCAAAUUCCUGUGUAUCCCUAGGCAGAAGCUGUGAAUCCUGAGCAGCCAGGCACUGGAUCAAGUUACCAAAUCAGCGUUUUUGCAGAGGCCCCACCGGGGUAUGCGGGGAGAUUUAUGAGCCUGGAUUCUCCAUCCAUACGGAAGGCUUCUGACGGCAUAACGAGGGCUUGAGUUAUGGGACACCAGCUUGGCAAACAGACCAGAGGGAAGUGGACUCGAUUUUUGGCGACAGACACCAGGGGAGGGGAGGUCAAUGUCUGUUCACGUCUUCAAACCCUUUCCCCACCCCUCUUCCUUCCCAAUCUAUCCUUUCUCAGGCCUUCAAGACACAAAAUUCCUGAAAGCCCCAAACUCUCACCCUCGUCAUCCUUGGCGCCCCCUCCUAACUCUCCCUCUCUCAUUCCCCAAAGCCCUGGAAUUGUUUCUGACUUCCAAGACCCCUUCCUUGUUCCUCCGCCCACACUCCUACCAGAUCCAAAUCCAGGACGGACAGUCUACGCCGGGCACUAAGGUUGAAAAUGUGGGAGGGAACUCUCUGACUCUGAUCCUUGAUCCCUCCGAGAGACCCUCCAAGUACCUCUCCGCUGUAAUCUUUGAGUCCCCGUCUCCCUUGUCCCCCGCCUUCAAAACUGGGACUUGGGCUGUCUUACCACCCCCGGACCCUGAGCCUUCUCCCCCCACCCCUCCU
Molecule: non-coding RNA, 1707 nt
Organism: Odocoileus virginianus texanus
Lineage: Eukaryota; Metazoa; Chordata; Mammalia; Artiodactyla; Cervidae
Source: RefSeq, a predicted model, not a curated record